GGCACAGCAGCAGGAAGAGUCUUACAAAAAUGAAGUGAGUGCGAGGUAUUUUAAUAAACAGCAAAAAUUAAAGAAACUGGUAACUUAGGUUUUAGGCCAUAUUUAAUUUUUCUAGUAGCUUCCGUUUGAUAAAAGAUUCUUCAAAAACUAAUAAUGUUCUUUUUAUUUUUUUCAGGGUAGAAUUAAGUUGUAAAUAGUUGGUAGUAGUAGUUUUAGUAUUAGUUAUUGUUAGUUAGCUUUAGUAUUUAUUAAUUUAGUAAGUAGUAUGAACACGUGAGCCAAGCUUUUAAAAAAAGCUGGUGAAAAAGGCCUAAUCUUUAUUGAUUAGGUUGUGUGAGAAUUUGUGGUUGUGGGUAGACAAAUUCUGAAAAUCGUGUUUAAUUAAAAUUA
Molecule: long non-coding RNA, 390 nt
Organism: Bactrocera tryoni
Lineage: Eukaryota; Metazoa; Arthropoda; Insecta; Diptera; Tephritidae
Exons: 2
Source: RefSeq, a predicted model, not a curated record